GAAGGCCUUCGGGUUGUAAACUGCUUUUGUACGGAACGAAACGGCGAGCUCUAAUACAGUUUGCUAAUGACGGUACCGUAAGAAUAAGCACCGGCUAACUACGUGCCAGCAGCCGCGGUAAUACGUAGGGUGCGAGCGUUAAUCGGAAUUACUGGGCGUAAAGCGUGCGCAGGCGGUGAUGUAAGACAGAUGUGAAAUCCCCGGGCUCAACCUGGGACCUGCAUUUGUGACUGCAUCGCUAGAGUACGGCAGAGGGGGAUGGAAUUCCGCGUGUAGCAGUGAAAUGCGUAGAUAUGCGGAGGAACACCGAUGGCGAAGGCAAUCCCCUGGGCCUGUACUGACGCUCAUGCACGAAAGCGUGGGGAGCAAACAGGAUUAGAUACCCUGGUAGUCCACGCCCUAAACGAUGUCAACUGGUUGUUGGGUCUUCACUGACUCAGUAACGAAGCUAACGCGUGAAGUUGACCGCCUGGGGAGUACGGCCGCAAGGUUGAAACU
This 498-nucleotide ribosomal RNA is filed under the name uncultured bacterium. RNAcentral describes it as "bacterial SSU rRNA". It matches the Rfam family "Bacterial small subunit ribosomal RNA", at positions 410 to 901 of the family's 1533-position model. The record is from RNAcentral.